AUACCAUUGGUUUCCAAUACUGACUGCCCAUCUGUGUCUCUUGGAGAGGUUAAAAAGCACGAAUAACCAGACCACAUCCCAUGCAAAAAAAAAGGAGGACAGGUGAUAAAAAUGUCCAGACACAAAUGGCAAGCACGGGUGUAAACAUACACGGAGACUGAGUCAGAAAGUCACUAUUCUGGACUCGUGAUUGCUGUUAUUUGAAUCAGCAAUUUUCCAAUGAGAC
RNAcentral lists this long non-coding RNA (226 nucleotides) under Homo sapiens (human). Its description in RNAcentral is "HSALNT0158755". The record is from RNAcentral. Lineage: Eukaryota; Metazoa; Chordata; Mammalia; Primates; Hominidae.